CUAAGGAGCAUCUGGCAUCCUUCGGGGUGUCCAGGCGCCAGGUCAAGAACGUCUGUUUCUUGCUGGUUAGCUCAUGGGUGGAACAUUUGACAUGGCAUCAGCGCAGCUGGUCUUGCUUAGUACGGUCUUUGGAUCUGGAACGGUGGGGUUGGUGAGCGGGGUGUCUGCACGCUGUUGGGUCCUGAGGGACCGGGCCGGCCUGCUUCUUUCGGGGAGUGGGUCGUUUCGAACCUCUUGGCCCCUUCUUCUGUUUCCCUUUGGGGUUUCGGUUGUGGGGGACCGCCCGUACUUUGAGAACUACACAGUGGACGCGAGCAUCUUAAAGAAUUAAAUGCUGCCAGUCUUUUCCUGGACUGGUGGUAACUCAUGUGAUU
RNAcentral lists this unclassified non-coding RNA (374 nucleotides) under uncultured bacterium. RNAcentral describes it as "16S-23S ribosomal RNA intergenic spacer". The record is from RNAcentral.